UACGGAGGGGCUAGCGUUGUUCGGAAUUACUGGCGUAAAGCGUACGUAGGCGGCUUUGUAAGUUAGAGGUGAAAGCCCAGGGCUUAACCCUGGAAUUGCCUUUAAGACUGCAUCGCUUGAAUCCAGGAGAGGUGAGUGGAAUCCGAGUGUAGAGGUGAAAUUCGUAGAUAUUCGGAAGAACACCAGUGGCGAAGGCGGCUCACUGGACU
This 209-nucleotide ribosomal RNA is filed under the name uncultured bacterium. RNAcentral's name for it is "partial 16S ribosomal RNA". It matches the Rfam family "Bacterial small subunit ribosomal RNA", at positions 524 to 735 of the family's 1533-position model. The record is from RNAcentral.